This 631-nucleotide ribosomal RNA is filed under the name Bacillus sp. SC-A2C-SW. RNAcentral describes it as "bacterial SSU rRNA". It matches the Rfam family "Bacterial small subunit ribosomal RNA", at positions 59 to 673 of the family's 1533-position model. Lineage: Bacteria; Bacillati; Bacillota; Bacilli; Caryophanales; Bacillaceae. The record is from RNAcentral.
CAGUCGAGCGAAUCGAUGGGAGCUUGCUCCCUGAGAUUAGCGGCGGACGGGUGAGUAACACGUGGGCAACCUGCCUAUAAGACUGGGAUAACUUCGGGAAACCGGAGCUAAUACCGGAUACGUUCUUUUCUCGCAUGAGAGAAGAUGGAAAGACGGUUUACGCUGUCACUUAUAGAUGGGCCCGCGGCGCAUUAGCUAGUUGGUGAGGUAAUGGCUCACCAAGGCGACGAUGCGUAGCCGACCUGAGAGGGUGAUCGGCCACACUGGGACUGAGACACGGCCCAGACUCCUACGGGAGGCAGCAGUAGGGAAUCUUCCGCAAUGGACGAAAGUCUGACGGAGCAACGCCGCGUGAACGAAGAAGGCCUUCGGGUCGUAAAGUUCUGUUGUUAGGGAAGAACAAGUACCAGAGUAACUGCUGGUACCUUGACGGUACCUAACCAGAAAGCCACGGCUAACUACGUGCCAGCAGCCGCGGUAAUACGUAGGUGGCAAGCGUUGUCCGGAAUUAUUGGGCGUAAAGCGCGCGCAGGUGGUUCCUUAAGUCUGAUGUGAAAGCCCACGGCUCAACCGUGGAGGGUCAUUGGAAACUGGGGAACUUGAGUGCAGAAGAGGAAAGUGGAAUUCCAAG